AAUCAUUUAACGAAGAGUGAUGAGGUAUUUUUCAUAUACAUUAUUGCUUAUCUUGAUCUGUGAUUUGGUAUUUUUCAUAUGCCAAGAGAAAUUACCUACUAAUGUCCCUGAUUUUGUGGUUAUUCUAUUGUUAGUUGUAUACAAAACUAAUUUCAUGGUUUGAUGUGCUAUUAAGAUAUUUUUGAAUGGGAAAUUGAAACCUCAAAUCUUGGUACAUCUGGAGCUGAAGCUCAGUGGUACAUCAAUUUUAUAGUGUUGCUAUUUGUUCAUGUAUGCAGAACAGUUUUUUUUUUUUUUUUU
RNAcentral lists this unclassified non-coding RNA (300 nucleotides) under Hevea brasiliensis (rubber tree). The record is from RNAcentral. Lineage: Eukaryota; Viridiplantae; Streptophyta; Magnoliopsida; Malpighiales; Euphorbiaceae.